This 214-nucleotide ribosomal RNA is filed under the name uncultured bacterium. RNAcentral's name for it is "partial 16S ribosomal RNA". It matches the Rfam family "Bacterial small subunit ribosomal RNA", at positions 29 to 154 of the family's 1533-position model. The record is from RNAcentral.
AACGAACGCUGGCGGCGUGGCUAAGGCAUGCAAGUCGAACGGUCAGGGCUAGAAACUAGACACUAGAAACUAGAGACUAGAACGGAUGACUCAUCCGUUUCUAGUUUCCAGUGAGGGCGCAGCCCGAUCUAGUCUCCAGUUUCUAGUCCUGAUAGUGGCGAACGGGUGAGGAAUACAUGGAUAACGUACCCUAGACUCAGGGAUAGCGGCGGGG